RNAcentral lists this ribosomal RNA (497 nucleotides) under uncultured bacterium. RNAcentral's name for it is "bacterial SSU rRNA". It matches the Rfam family "Bacterial small subunit ribosomal RNA", at positions 28 to 514 of the family's 1533-position model. The record is from RNAcentral.
GAUGAACGCUGGCGGCGUGCCUAACACAUGCAAGUCGAACGGAGUUAUGAUGUGAGCGGGAAGUGCUUGCACUAAACAAUCUUUUCAUAACUUAGUGGCGGACGGGUGAGUAACGCGUGGGUAACCUGCCCUGUACUGGGGGACAACAGUUGGAAACGACUGCUAAUACCGCAUAAGCGCACGGGAUCGCAUGAUCGUGUGUGAAAAACUCCGGUGGUACAGGAUGGACCCGCGUCUGAUUAGCUGGUUGGUGAGGUAACGGCCCACCAAGGCAACGAUCAGUAGCCGGCCUGAGAGGGGUGAACGGCCACAUUGGGACUGAGACACGGCCCAAACUCCUACGGGGAGGCAGCAGUGGGGAAUAUUGCACAAUGGGGGAAACCCUGAUGCAGCGACGCCGCGUGAGUGAAGAAGUAUUUCGGUAUGUAAAGCUCUAUCAGCAGGGAAGAAAAUGACGGUACCUGACUAAGAAGCCCCGGCUAACUACGUGCCAGCAG